Molecule: long non-coding RNA, 1101 nt
Organism: Drosophila navojoa
Lineage: Eukaryota; Metazoa; Arthropoda; Insecta; Diptera; Drosophilidae
Gene: fne
Source: RefSeq, a predicted model, not a curated record
UGUUCGUUCGUUGCUUUCGUUCGGUUUUGAUUCCAUUCGGUUGUGUUUCUCAUUCGAGAACAUUCAUUUAUAAUUUUUUGACUCCUCUGCACCAGUUUUUCUGUUGUAUUCAGUUACAAAUUUGUUGUGUUCUACGUUUUUUCCAACUAAAAAAAAAAAGAAGAAAACAACAACAAACAGAAACACAACUGCAAUUGUAACUACAACAACAACAACAACAACAACUGCAACUGCAACGGCAAUAACUCUGUGCAAGACUCUCUUCUGUGCAAUAUACCAGAUGAUAUAUAUUUAGGUAUAUAUAUAUCAGUAUAUAUAUAUAUACCAACUAUCGCUACUAUCGUUUCGUUACGUUUCGCUUUAAACACUCGUGUCGGGCAAACAUCAAUUGCAAUACGUUCAACUCGAUUGACGAAAGCCAAGCUAACUGUAAAGCAACAACAACAGCAGCAACGGCAACAACAACAACAACAACAACAACAACAACAACAACAACGCAUCGAUUGUGUUCCUAGUCAAAUUUGUUCCAUUUUUUUUUCGCUUUUUGUUACACUGUGCAAAAGCCAAGCCAAGCUAAGCAAAGCAAACGCAGCAACAAGACCAAUAACAACAACAACAACAACAACAACAACAGCAACAGCAACAGCAACUACAGCUAAAACUCAAGCAGCGUGCGUCAGAGCGAGAUAGCUGUUGCCAACGCAGCCUUUGAGUGAGCGAGCGCGAGCAACUGUUUUGCAAUCAAUAGAGCCAAAAGAAAAGUUUUCUUUUCUUGCUGCUUCUUCUUUCACAUAUAUAUAUAUAUACAUAUAUAUAUCGAAAUAUAUAUAUACUUCUUUGCUAUCUAUUUUUUUUAUGCGACGUGUCUGUGUCGACUUUAUCGUAUUGCAGAAAUCUAUUGAGUACGAAACGAGCGAGCAAUCGAACAGCUAAUUAUCAUUUAUCCGACACGGUCUGGGAACAGGAGCAAGAAGCGAUUCGAUAAGAAAGAUUUUUUAAACUGCAACCGAAGCAAAGCGCAAAAACCAAACACCACCAAACAAAACCAACAAAACAAACUAUUAAAAUAAUAAUAUUAAAAAAAAAAACCAAGAAGAAGAA